CCCUUAGAUGUUCUGGGCCGCACGCGCGCUACACUGAUGCAUUCAACGAGUCUAAAACCUGCUCUGAUAGGGGUGGGUAAUCUUUUGAAUGUGCAUCGUGAUUGGGAUAGGUGAUUGCAAUUUUUCAUCUUCAACGAGGAAUGCCUAGUAAACGCAAGUCAUCAGCUUGCAUUGAUUACGUCCCUGCCCUUUGUACACACCGCCCGUCGCUCCUACCGAUUGAAUGAUCCGAUGAAUAUCAUGGAUUGAGGAUUAUAGCAGGUUCGCCUGUCUUGAUCUUCGAGAAGUGAAGUAAAUCUUAUCAUUUAGAGGAAGGAGAAGUCGUAACA
Molecule: ribosomal RNA, 329 nt
Filed under: uncultured eukaryote
Lineage: Eukaryota
Description: partial 18S ribosomal RNA
Rfam family: Eukaryotic small subunit ribosomal RNA
Source: RNAcentral